Molecule: transfer RNA, 90 nt
Filed under: Kribbella aluminosa
Lineage: Bacteria; Bacillati; Actinomycetota; Actinomycetes; Propionibacteriales; Kribbellaceae
Description: tRNA-OTHER
Source: RNAcentral
GGCCUCUGACGCCUAGAGAGGCUGGUUGCUAGGGCAUCAUUGCCCCUUUUAAUCCGCGGGUUGUGGGUUCGAGUCCCACGGGGCCCACCA